Molecule: ribosomal RNA, 254 nt
Filed under: uncultured bacterium
Lineage: Bacteria
Description: partial 16S ribosomal RNA
Rfam family: Bacterial small subunit ribosomal RNA
Source: RNAcentral
UACGAGGGGGGCGAGCGUUGUUCGGAAUUAUUGGGCGUAAAGGGUGCGUAGGCGGUUCCGCAAGUCCUGUGUGAAAUCUUCGGGCUCAACUCGAAGUCUGCACGGGAAACUGCGGGGCUUGAGUGUGGGAGAGGUGAGUGGAAUUCCCCGGUGUAGCGGUGAAAUGCGUAGAUAUCGGGAGGAACACCUGUGGCGAAAGCGGCUCACUGGACCAUAACUGACGCUGAUGCACGAAAGCUGGGGGAGCAAACAGG